UCCUGACCCGAAACCGAAAAGCUCAAUUGAAUCAGCAAAUCAAAAUCGAUUGAAACGGUGAAACUUGAAAGUGAAACCCUAGUCUUCUUCUUCUUCUUCUUCUUCAUCUUCACUCCAGUCUUCUUCUUCUUCAUCGUCGCUCAUCAUCAGUCAGUGAUUUCUGCUAGAGGCCAAGCUUCCUCUUCUCCUUCUGUCUCUUCUUAGCUUCUCCUCGUCCAGACGUAGCAAAGCGACGACCCGGGAACGAAUUCCUCACCGGUAGGGGAACAGGAGACGGCCAUGUCGAGGCACAUCAGCUCCUGAAACGGCAGGGGGCCAGAGUCCAGACGCAGCAGAGCUUCCUCUUCCUCUUCUCCUUCGAGGCAUAUCUUGACCUGAAAAGGGAAGAAGAGCGAUCGCGAGUUUGAGAGAUAGAGAGAAAGGGGGCGAGAGAGAGAUCGAUCGAUCGAUCAGAAAGAAAAAGGUCAGUGAACGAGUGAUUUAUUGGAGAAAUUUUAUCUUUUAAUUCUGCCCUUAACCUUGUUUUAAGCUAUAGUUUGCAAACGAAUCGGAGUGACAGGGAUGGAGGCAACGGUGAGUUUGAUUUGGAACAUAUUUGAUUAAAUGCCCGUGUGUGAGAAAGAGGUGUUGUCGGUUACAUGUGAGAAAGAGGUGUUGUCGUUGCCUGCACUGGUGCCUCAAUGGAGCGGAAGCUUGUGGUGAGUCCCUAUCCCUUGUCCAUUGUUCACUGCUGUCUAGGAGGUGGUCAUUUUUCAGGUAAUAGGAAUUGGCAGCAAUAUAGGUGAAGAUCUCAGUUUGUUGUAUUGCUUUUAGAAGUUCAUUAUGCGGAGGAAAUGGGAGGUGGUCCCUCUUUUGGUUUUUUCUCGAGCUGUAAGCUAGACUCUUGGCUAGAUGUAUUUCGGUUUGGACAAAUGUAGAGGUUUAUCUCAUCGAUCUGAUAUGGAAUUAAAUUGAUUAUUUAUUUAUAAAAAUUAUUGUUGAGUAAUUUCAUAA
Punica granatum (pomegranate) is the source of this 993-nucleotide non-coding RNA. Lineage: Eukaryota; Viridiplantae; Streptophyta; Magnoliopsida; Myrtales; Lythraceae. The record is from RefSeq and is a predicted model, not a curated record.